RNAcentral lists this ribosomal RNA (465 nucleotides) under uncultured Klebsiella sp. RNAcentral's name for it is "bacterial SSU rRNA". It matches the Rfam family "Bacterial small subunit ribosomal RNA", at positions 338 to 795 of the family's 1533-position model. The record is from RNAcentral. Lineage: Bacteria; Pseudomonadati; Pseudomonadota; Gammaproteobacteria; Enterobacterales; Enterobacteriaceae.
CCUACGGGUGGCUGCAGUGGGGAAUAUUGCACAAUGGGCGCAAGCCUGAUGCAGCCAUGCCGCGUGUGUGAAGAAGGCCUUCGGGUUGUAAAGCACUUUCAGCGGGGAGGAAGGCGGUGAGGUUAAUAACCUCAUCGAUUGACGUUACCCGCAGAAGAAGCACCGGCUAACUCCGUGCCAGCAGCCGCGGUAAUACGGAGGGUGCAAGCGUUAAUCGGAAUUACUGGGCGUAAAGCGCACACAGGCGGUCUGUCAAGUCGGAUGUGAAAUCCCCGGGCUCAACCUGGGAACUGCAUUCGAAACUGGCAGGCUAGAGUCUUGUAGAGGGGGGUAGAAUUCCAGGUGUAGCGGUGAAAUGCGUAGAGAUCUGGAGGAAUACCGGUGGCGAAGGCGGCCCCCUGGACAAAGACUGACGCUCAGGUGCGAAAGCGUGGGGAGCAAACAGGAUUAGAUACCCCAGUAGUC